Pelobates cultripes (western spadefoot toad) is the source of this 253-nucleotide non-coding RNA. NCBI's taxonomy places the organism in Eukaryota, Metazoa, Chordata, Amphibia, Anura, Pelobatidae. The record is from the annotation of a GenBank genome assembly.
GGAAGAGUCCGUGUGGGAUACUGGAGUGAUCUGAGGUUCUUCAGCUGGCAGCGAACGUUAUGGUCCGAGACCCUACACAGGACACACUCGAAGGAAGGAGGUGGAGUGGGGACGUUCUUUUAUAUUUUAUGUGAACAAAGAAUAAAGAAUUUCCAUUUUACCCCUGGCUGGCAUCCUCUCCUGCAUCACUGACCCUAUUUGAGGUCUACACAUGCUGAAAGUUAGAGCAGGCUCAUCUACUCUCUAUUUGUGA